Molecule: ribosomal RNA, 550 nt
Filed under: uncultured Actinomycetes bacterium
Lineage: Bacteria; Bacillati; Actinomycetota; Actinomycetes
Description: bacterial SSU rRNA
Rfam family: Bacterial small subunit ribosomal RNA
Source: RNAcentral
UGGGGAAUCUUGCGCAAUGGGCGAAAGCCUGACGCAGCGACGCCGCGUGAGGGAAGAAGGCCUUCGGGUUGUAAACCUCUUUCAGCAGGGACGAAGCCACUCGGGUUAAUAGCCCAGAGGGUGACGGUACCUGCAGAAGAAGCCCCGGCUAACUACGUGCCAGCAGCCGCGGUAAUACGUAGGGGGCAAGCGUUGUCCGGAUUUAUUGGGCGUAAAGAGCGUGUAGGCGGUUGGAUAGGUCUGCUGUGAAAACUCCAGGCUCAACCUGGAGACGUCGGUGGAAACCAUCUAACUAGAGUCCGGAAGAGGAGAGUGGAAUUCCUGGUGUAGCGGUGAAAUGCGCAGAUAUCAGGAAGAACACCCGUGGCGAAGGCGGCUCUCUGGGACGGUACUGACGCUGAGACGCGAAAGCGUGGGGAGCGAACAGGAUUAGAUACCCUGGUAGUCCACGCCGUAAACGAUGGGUGCUAGGUGUGGGGGGUGUCGACUCCCUCUGUGCCGAAGCUAACGCAUUAAGCACCCCGCCUGGGGAGUACGGCCGCAAGGCUAA